GCGUAAAGGGUGGUAGGCAGGUAGGCAAGUAUAAAGUAAAAGACUAAGGAAUAACCUUUUUGAUUCUUUAUCCACUACUUACCUUGAGUUUAGAGGCGAUAAGUUGAAUUCUUAUAGGAAGGGUGAAAUCUGUUGAUAGCUGGAAGACGUUCAAAGGCGAAAGCGACAUCGACCUAGAUCUGACGCUGAGGCACGAAAGCAUGGGUAUAAAGAAGAUUAGAGACCUUCGUAGUCCAUGCUUAAACUAUGAGUGUUCAACGUCCUUAUUUGAAGUAAGCACAGUUAAGUGAUUAUAGGAAUUUAAGGGGGUUUAAAGCUAACGCGUGAAACACUCCGCCUGGGUAAUAUAGCCGCAAGGUCUAAACUAAAGGAAUUGACGGAGGCUCGAACGAGG
This 394-nucleotide ribosomal RNA is filed under the name Fuligo muscorum. RNAcentral describes it as "SSU rRNA". It matches the Rfam family "Bacterial small subunit ribosomal RNA", at positions 558 to 930 of the family's 1533-position model. Lineage: Eukaryota; Evosea; Eumycetozoa; Physariida; Physaraceae. The record is from RNAcentral.